GUCCUUCAGUAACAGUGUGUUCCUCAGCAACACCUCGCUAGGUCCUUUAGUAACAGUGUGUUCCUCAGCAACACCUCGCUAGGUCCUUUAGUAACAGUGUGUUCCUCAGUAGCACCUCGCUAGGUCCUUUAGUAACAGUGUGUUCCUCAGCAGCACGUCGCUAGGUCCUUUAGUAACAGUGUGUUCCUUAGCAACACCUCGCUAGGUCCUUUAGUAACAGUGUGUUCCUCAGCAGCACCUCGCUAGGUCCUUUAGUAACAGUGUGUUCCUCAGCAACACCUCGCUAGGCCCUUUCUUAAAUGGAAGAAAUUUGGAACAACAAACACUCUUCCUAGAGCUGGCUGGCCAGACAAACUGAGCAAUCGGGGGAGGAGGGUCUUGGUCAGCGAGGUUACCAAGAACCCGAUGGUCACUGACAGAGCUCGUCUGUGGAAAUGGAAUAAUCUUCCAGAAGGAUAAACAUCUCUGCAGCAGUCCACCAAUUAGGCCUUUAUGGUAGACUGGCCAGACGGAAGCCACUCCUCAGUAAAAUGCACAUGACAGCCCGCUUAGAGUUUGCCAAAAGGCACCUAAAGACUCUCAGACCAAGAGAAACAAGAUUCUCAGGUCUGAUGAAACCAAGAUUGAACUGUUUGGCCUGAAUGCAAAGCAUCAUGUCUGGAGAAAACCUGGCACCAUCCCUAUGGUGAAGCGUGGUGGUGGGAGCAUCAUGCUGUGGGGAUGUUUUUCAGGACUAAUCAGGAUCAAGGCAAAGAUGAACGGAGCAAAGUACAGAGAUCCUUGAUGAAAACCUGCUCCAGAGUGCUCAGGACCUCAGACUGGGGCAAAGGCUCACCAUCCAACAGGACAAUGACCCUAAGCACACAUCCAAGACAACGCAGGAGUGGCUUCGGGACAAGUCUUUGAAUGUCAUUGAGUGGUCCAGCCAGAGCCCAGACUUGAACCCAACAUCUCUUGAGAGACCUGAAAAUAGGUGUGCAUCAACGCUCCCCAUCCAACCUGACCGAGCUUGAGAGGAUCUGCAAAGCAGAAUGGGAACAACUCCCCAAAUACAGUUGUGACAAGCUUGUAGCGUCAUACCCAAGAAGACUUGAGGCUGUAAUCGCUGCCUAAGGUGCUUCAACAAAGUAUUGAGUAAAGGGUCUGAAUACUUAUGUAAAUGUGAUAUUACAUUUUUUUUUUUUUUUUGCAAAAAUGUCUGAAAACCAGUUUUUGCUUUGUCAUUAUGGGGUAUUGUGUAUUUUUUUUAAAUCCAUUUUAGAAUAAGGCUGUAACGUAACAACAUUUGAAAAAAGUCAAGGGGUCUGAAUACUUUCCGAAUGCACUGCGUGUCCUUUAGUUCCUCAGCAGCAGCAGUUGAAGUCGGAGUUUUACAUACACAUUAGCCAAAUGCAUUUAAACCCUGACAUUUAAUCCAAGUAGAAAUUCCCUGUUUUAGGUCAGUUAGG
Molecule: long non-coding RNA, 1448 nt
Organism: Oncorhynchus tshawytscha (Chinook salmon)
Lineage: Eukaryota; Metazoa; Chordata; Actinopteri; Salmoniformes; Salmonidae
Source: Ensembl